This 482-nucleotide ribosomal RNA is filed under the name uncultured bacterium. RNAcentral describes it as "partial 16S ribosomal RNA". It matches the Rfam family "Bacterial small subunit ribosomal RNA", at positions 28 to 507 of the family's 1533-position model. The record is from RNAcentral.
GACGAACGCUGGCGGCGUGCCUAACACAUGCAAGUCGAGCGGGGAUUUAAGUGGAAGUUCUUCGGAAUGGAGAUUUAAAUUCUAGCGGCGGACGGGUGAGUAACGCGUGAACAAUCUGUCCCGGACAGGGGGAUAACACUUGGAAACAGGUGCUAAUACCGCAUAAGACCACGGCCUCGCAUGGGGCUGAGGUAAAAGGAGCAAUCCGGUUCGGGGUGAGUUCGCGUCCGAUUAGCUAGUUGGUGAGGUAACGGCCCACCAAGGCGACGAUCGGUAGCCGGCCUGAGAGGGUGAACGGCCACAUUGGAACUGAGAGACGGUCCAAACUCCUACGGAGGCAGCAGUGGGGAAUAUUGGGCAAUGGGCGAAAGCCUGACCCAGCAACGCCGCGUGAGGGAAGAAGGUUUUCGGAUUGUAAACCUCUGUCCUAUGGGACGAAGGAAGUGACGGUACCAUAGGAGGAAGCCCCGGCUAACUACGUG